GACGAACGCUGGCGGCGUGCCUAACACAUGCAAGUCGAACGAAGCUUGAUUUCUGAUUUUUUCGGAAUGACGAAUGAUAUGACUGAGUGGCGGACGGGUGAGUAACGCGUGAGCAACCUGCCCUUCGGAACGGGAUAGUGUCUGGAAACGGACAGUAAUACCGUAUAACAUAUAUUGAUCGCAUGGUCGAUAUAUCAAAACUGAGGUGCCGAAGGAUGGGCUCGCGUCUGAUUAGAUAGUUGGUGGGGUAACGGCCUACCAAGUCGACGAUCAGUAGCCGGACUGAGAGGUUGAACGGCCACAUUGGGACUGAGACACGGCCCAGACUCCUACGGGAGGCAGCAGUGGGGAAUAUUGCACAAUGGGGGAAACCCUGAUGCAGCAACGCCGCGUGAAGGAAGACGGUUUUCGGAUUGUAAACUUCUGUUCUUAGUGAAGAAUAAUGACGGUAGCUAAGGAGCAAGCCACGGCUA
RNAcentral lists this ribosomal RNA (473 nucleotides) under uncultured bacterium. RNAcentral describes it as "bacterial SSU rRNA". It matches the Rfam family "Bacterial small subunit ribosomal RNA", at positions 28 to 499 of the family's 1533-position model. The record is from RNAcentral.